This is a long non-coding RNA of Lepisosteus oculatus (spotted gar), 3006 nucleotides long. RefSeq lists it as uncharacterized. The record is from RefSeq and is a predicted model, not a curated record. NCBI's taxonomy places the organism in Eukaryota, Metazoa, Chordata, Actinopteri, Semionotiformes, Lepisosteidae.
CUUAGUCUACAACAGUAACAGGACUUCAGUGUCGCCAUGAUAUCAUAACGAAAAAAAGACAUCAUAUAGACAAACCGAAAUUAAAUUAAAAAAAUGUUUUAAUUGAUUUCUGGUGACAAGGGAAAAAAUACACGAUACCACAGCUGCGUCUCACUCUUUUUUUUUUCCCUAAAAAAACGCAUUCCCCAUUUCUGGGUACGACUGCUUAUAUAGCCCACUAGAAUUCCUGUUACGGGAUUUCUUUUCUUUUUUUUUUUUGGAGUCCGAAAGUAAGCAGUGCGUUUGUGACUGAAAGCGUGCGCUUGCAGACCGACCUCCAACAGCCACAUGUGUCUUUGAAGUAUUCCGCCCAUCGACAUGAAGUGAGAUCAAUUACAGAAGAACAACAGUGACAAAGAAUAUACUGCUGUACGUGGAGGCACUUUCCCACGAUCUGACCAGCCAGCUCAACGACGAGGAAUAGCCCUCCCUACUCACUCCACUCAAUACAAUAGCGCCAAAGAUGUUUUUAAAUACCAGAAAGCGGGUGAUUGGGGGUUUUACAACCUUUCUCCCCCAAAAAAUCUAUGGCGAUGGAAUGAAAAAAAAAGCUUUCUCUCCUCUCUAUUUUUUAACCCCAAAUAUAAUGUAGCUUAAAUAAUUUGUUCUUGCUAUCAGACAAAAAAAGAGAGUCCUACUAUACCGAAAGGAUUCGUUUUCCCUAGUGGUCAGCUUUCAUUGUAAACAUGAAAGUAAUAAAUAAACAAGUGCCGUUUUGGCAACCCUACUCUUUUCUAUUAAAGGCGUGACAAUUAAAAUGCACAGAUUUUGUGUGACUUUUCCUUUCGUUUCCUUUCUUGAGGAAAUGAAGUCUGGAUAGUUUUGUCCAGUCUGGAUAGCGGGAAACAGAGCUGCGAUUUGUUGAUUUGUUUCGGUGUGGACUUUAUUAGGAUAUGUCUUCUGUCUUUCCUAAAAAGAAAGUGGUUAAUUUGUCACUGGCAUCCAGUUCAUUCAUAAAAAAAAACAGCUCUGGGACCCCCAAGAAGGUGGAUCUGAGAGGAAUUUUCGGUGUUUUCAUCCCUCCUUUUCAUCGCGAGGCCACGCCCCCGCAGACAGAACGGCGUCAGGGCUGGGAGCGAAUGAAAUGAACACAAUCAAUAGUCACGGCCGCAAAUUACUGCAGGAAGUACUAAAACCAAGAUCGAUUACUCAAAAUAGUGUUUAACUUGAAGCACAGUUCACAGAGGCUUUGCGCUUUAAUAUAAACAACAGUGUAGUGGAAGCGACGCAUAUUUGUUUCUAGCAUGAAGUGCCCGCUUGCAUAUAAACAUCUAUAAUUCUGAAGCAGUCAUGCAGUUCCAUGCAGGACACACCCGAAGAAGUGUCACACACUGAAGAGCUCAUCAUCAAUGUCUCAACAACAGCAGUUACUGUCCGAGUCCAAUGGCACUUGGGCACAGUCAGAUAGAUGGGUCAGACCAUGUCCAUGUUCAUCAUCACAAGACCCUGUGCCAUUCUGAAGCUGUGAAGAAUGCAGUAGGUCCCUAAGACAAGCUUGUGGGCCAGUAUUGCCUAGGACCAGACAAGACACAAUUUCGAAAGUGGCUUAUCUUUUGUUGGAGUGUGUAGGUUAAGGAGCUGCUACUGUUAUAUGCUGUACACAGAGCCACAGAAUGUCAGAAGGUGGUUUGUUUGUAACUCCUUCUGAUUAUUCAAUCCUAAAUUUAAAUAAAAUAAUGGAGAAAUAAUUUUAUUGUGCAUAAAUACAUGAAAGAUGUAGAUUUUUUAUUGCCAGAUUGUUUUUCAUUGUACUACUAACCAUACUAACCACAACAUAAUUUCACUUUAAUGUUUUCACUGUACUACAUUUGUUACUGUUCCACCUGUGGUAAGAGGAUGCCUUCCCGAUUCGUUCAAAUUUAUCAUGUCUUAUAAAUAGCAGCAUGGUCUACAUAACUGUACAUCUACUGUUACCUGUGAAGAGCUUCGCUCCAGAGAGAACUAAAAGUUAAGCUCAGACAGUUCCUUCUUCUUGUUUACUGUUGAAAACACACACAGUUUCAUCAGCUCUAAAAAAACAUUGUGAGAAACAUUGAAGAUAAAUAAAGUAAAAACAGAAAAGGUAAAUGUAAGGUUCAUAUUUCCCUUUUACUUUAAUUCCAUUCAAGCCACAUCUCUUUAUCAACAACCAUAUUAUUCUAAUUUACUUAACUUAAACAGUCGUUUUUCUGAGGGUACAUUCAUUGCUCAGCCUAAUUGCUCAGUGGCUUUUGACCUCAAAUAAGAUUAUGUGUGAGACAUAGCUUCACUGUGAAUCUUUCUUGAAUAAAAAUCUUUUACUAGUGAAUCAGUAAUCAGAGUGGCCCCGAACACAGCACACUGCAACUCUGUUUUAGAUAGGCUAUACAGGAUUCCAUAGUAAACAAGGAAUUAAAGAAUGUGAUAGUUUAGCUGCUACCGUUUAAAGGUAUGCACCAGAUUAUUACAAACACGCAUUCUUCGUGAUAUUGUUAGAGUCCUUAAGAAAUUGAUAAAUACAAAAUAUUAACUGUAUAUUAAAUUAUAUUUGAUCAUUUUUACAUUUGCACAUGGAUACAGGCAUAUAUUUCUUACAGGAAUUAUAUGGAAAUAAGUAUCUUAAAGUUCAUGUGUUCACAUGAUAAUUCUGAACUCAUAGAAGGUUCAAAGAUUAUGCUUCUUGUGUCAUCACUUAUAUUUACCUGCCUUUCCUCAGCAUACCGUAUUGAGCAAAAGGGCAUGGCCUGCUUCUACCAUGGGCAUGGGCCCUCACAAAUAAUGUGACAUACUUCAUUCCUGGCCAUUUCCACUGCUGUGGACAGGAGAGAUCAUUUCUGUGAACAUACUGUACACAAAUAAUUUGUUAGGACAAUAUUUAUCACAGAUGUAAUAGGAAAAAUGAUUAUAAGGCCACAGUCUAUCCAUUAAUUCAUCUGGACUGUACUCUGAAAUGCAUUGUAGCUUUGUAUCACUAACUGCAUAUAAUGAGAAAUAAAAUGUUAAAUAUGU